UCACAACCUCCUUGAUUGAGAUGA
This 24-nucleotide microRNA is filed under the name Gyrodactylus salaris (gyrodactylosis fluke). RNAcentral describes it as "gsa-miR-67-3p". Its record names the gene gsa-miR-67-3p. Lineage: Eukaryota; Metazoa; Platyhelminthes; Monogenea; Gyrodactylidea; Gyrodactylidae. The record is from miRBase by way of RNAcentral.